GACGAACGCUGGCGGCGUGCUUAACACAUGCAAGUCGAACGGAAAGGCCCUGCUUUUGUGGGGUGCUCGAGUGGCGAACGGGUGAGUAACACGUGAGUAACCUGCCCUUGACUUUGGGAUAACUUCAGGAAACUGGGGCUAAUACCGGAUAGGAGCUCCUGCUGCAUGGGGGGGGUUGGAAAGUUUCGGCGGUUGGGGAUGGACUCGCGGCUUAUCAGCUUGUUGGUGGGGUAGUGGCUUACCAAGGCUUUGACGGGUAGCCGGCCUGGGAGGGUGACCGGCCACAUUGGGACUGAGAGACGGCCCAGACUCCUACGGGCGGCAGCAGUGGGAAAUAUUGCACAAUGGGCGGAAGCCUGAUGCAGCAGCCCCGCGUGCGGGAUGACGGCCUUCGGGUUGUAAACCGCUUUCGCCUGUGACGAAGCGUGAGUGACGGUAAUGGGUAAAGAAGCACCGGCUAACUACGUG
RNAcentral lists this ribosomal RNA (468 nucleotides) under uncultured bacterium. Its description in RNAcentral is "partial 16S ribosomal RNA". It matches the Rfam family "Bacterial small subunit ribosomal RNA", at positions 28 to 507 of the family's 1533-position model. The record is from RNAcentral.